GCCUGAUGGAUGGGGAUAACUACUGGAAACGGUAGCUAAUACCGCAUAACGUCGCAAGACCAAAGUGGGGGACCUUCGGGCCUCAUGCCAUCAGAUGUGCCCAGAUGGGAUUAGCUAGUAGGUGGGGUAACGGCUCACCUAGGCGACGAUCCCUAGCUGGUCUGAGAGGAUGACCAGCCACACUGGAACUGAGACACGGUCCAGACUCCUACGGGAGGCAGCAGUGGGGAAUAUUGCACAAUGGGCGCAAGCCUGAUGCAGCCAUGCCGCGUGUGUGAAGAAGGCCUUCGGGUUGUAAAGCACUUUCAGCGGGGAGGAAGGCGAUAAGGUUAAUAACCUUGUCGAUUGACGUUACCCGCAGAAGAAGCACCGGCUAACUCCGUGCCAGCAGCCGCGGUAAUACGGAGGGUGCAAGCGUUAAUCGGAAUUACUGGGCGUAAAGCGCACGCAGGCGGUCUGUCAAGUCGGAUGUGAAAUCCCCGGGCUCAACCUGGGAACUGCAUUCGAAACUGGCAGGCUAGAGUCUUGUAGAGGGGGGUAGAAUUUCCAGGUGUAGCGGUGAAAAUUGCGUAGAGAUCUGGAGGAAUACCGGUGGCGAAGGCGGCCCCCCUGGACAAAGACUGACGCUCAGGUGCGAAAGCGUGGGGAGCAAACAGGAUUAGAUACCCUGGUAGUCCACGCUGUAAACGAUGUCGAUUUGGAGGUUGUGCCCUUUGAGGCGUGGCUUCCGGAGCUAACGCGUUAAAUCGACCGCCUGGGGAGUACGGCCGCAAGGUUAAAACUCAAAUGAAUUGACGGGGGCCCGCACAAGCGGUGGAGCAUGUGGUUUAAUUCGAUGCAACGCGAAGAACCUUACCUGGUCUUGACAUCCACAGAACUUUCCAGAGAUGGAUUGGUGCCUUCGGGAACUGUGAGACAGGUGCUGCAUGGCUGUCGUCAGCUCGUGUUGUGAAAUGUUGGGUUAAGUCCCGCAACGAGCGCAACCCUUAUCCUUUGUUGCCAGCGGUCCGGCCGGGAACUCAAAGGAGACUGCCAGUGAUAAACUGGAGGAAGGUGGGGAUGACGUCAAGUCAUCAUGGCCCUUACGACCAGGGCUACACACGUGCUACAAUGGCAUAUACAAAGAGAAGCGACCUCGCGAGAGCAAGCGGACCUCAUAAAGUAUGUCGUAGUCCGGAUUGGAGUCUGCAACUCGACUCCAUGAAGUC
RNAcentral lists this ribosomal RNA (1208 nucleotides) under Klebsiella sp. IG 16. RNAcentral describes it as "bacterial SSU rRNA". It matches the Rfam family "Bacterial small subunit ribosomal RNA", at positions 128 to 1327 of the family's 1533-position model. Lineage: Bacteria; Pseudomonadati; Pseudomonadota; Gammaproteobacteria; Enterobacterales; Enterobacteriaceae. The record is from RNAcentral.